UCUUGAUGCAGAACUUUACUAUGUGA
Molecule: non-coding RNA, 26 nt
Filed under: Cricetulus griseus (Chinese hamster)
Lineage: Eukaryota; Metazoa; Chordata; Mammalia; Rodentia; Cricetidae
Source: RNAcentral